GAUAAAAGAUUUAGCUGCUGUGUUUCAUGCGGAAUGCCUUUCAUACUGCCAAGAACUAUUAGAACUUCAGAGAAAAUGGGAGGAGGUUAGCUGCAAUCCGUUUUCCCAGUUUCACAUUAUUUGAUUACUUGUAUCUCAGCCAUUCAUUGACUUGACUGCUCCAGAGGAUUCAAGAAAGGACACCCUGCGGCCCUCCAAACGCACGAAAAAGCUGCGUUAAGGACGAGGGGGAAAAGCUGGCUCAGCCUGAAACUUUUGAUUGGUUCUUUGUACCCUGUUUUUGUUGUAAGUAUAACACUUAUGGAAAUUAUUGAAAAAAAACCUUCAAGCGUCAUGCAAUUCAUGUAACUGGCCUCGUCCAAUGAGAUAAGAUUUAUUAUUGUCGUAAAUUUUGUGCAUGAUUAAAAUAGCAGGGAAAGAAACCCAGAAAAUUGAGCUUUCUGCCCGUUUUAGGUUUGUC
Molecule: long non-coding RNA, 460 nt
Organism: Prosopis cineraria
Lineage: Eukaryota; Viridiplantae; Streptophyta; Magnoliopsida; Fabales; Fabaceae
Exons: 3
Source: RefSeq, a predicted model, not a curated record